GCUGGGUGUGGUGGAGCAUGCCUGUAGUCCCAGCUACUUGGGAGGCUGAGGUGGGAGAAUCACUUGAGCCUAGGAGGUCAAGGCUGCAGUGAGCCGUUUGCACCACUGCACUCUAGCCUGGGUGACUGAGGGAGACCCUGCCUCAA
This 146-nucleotide non-coding RNA is filed under the name Nomascus leucogenys (northern white-cheeked gibbon). Lineage: Eukaryota; Metazoa; Chordata; Mammalia; Primates; Hylobatidae. The record is from Rfam by way of RNAcentral.